This 441-nucleotide ribosomal RNA is filed under the name uncultured Porphyromonadaceae bacterium. RNAcentral's name for it is "bacterial SSU rRNA". It matches the Rfam family "Bacterial small subunit ribosomal RNA", at positions 355 to 794 of the family's 1533-position model. The record is from RNAcentral. Lineage: Bacteria; Pseudomonadati; Bacteroidota; Bacteroidia; Bacteroidales; Porphyromonadaceae.
UGAGGAAUAUUGGGUCAAUGGGCGCGAGCCUGAACCAGCCAAGUCGCGUGGGGGAAGACGGCCCUACGGGUUGUAAACCUCUUUUGCCGGGGAGCAACGCUGCGGACGUGUCCGCAGGUGAGAGUACCCGGAGAAAAGCAUCGGCUAACUCCGUGCCAGCAGCCGCGGUAAUACGGAGGAUGCGAGCGUUAUCCGGAUUUAUUGGGUUUAAAGGGUGCGCAGGCGGCGCGCCAAGUCAGCGGUCAAAGUUCCGGGCUCAACCCGGUGUCGCCGUUGAAACUGGCGUGCUCGAGUGCGUGCGAGGAAGGCGGAAUGCGUUGUGUAGCGGUGAAAUGCAUAGAUAUGACGCAGAACUCCGAUUGCGAAGGCAGCUUUCCAGCGCGCUACUGACGCUGAGGCACGAAAGCGUGGGGAUCGAACAGGAUUAGAUACCCUGGUAGU